ACGUAGGGGGCGAGCGUUGUCCGGAAUUACUGGGCGUAAAGGGAGCGUAGGCGGUCGAUUAAGUUAGAUGUGAAACCCCCGGGCUUAACUUGGGGACUGCAUCUAAUACUGGUUGACUUAGAGUACAGGAGAGGGAAGCGGAAUUCCUAGUGUAGCGGUGAAAUGCGUGGAUAUGAGGAGGAACACCAGUGGCGAAGGCGGCAUUCUGUACUGACACUGAUGCUGAGGCUCGUAAGCGUGGGGAGCAAACAG
RNAcentral lists this ribosomal RNA (252 nucleotides) under uncultured prokaryote. RNAcentral describes it as "partial 16S rRNA". It matches the Rfam family "Bacterial small subunit ribosomal RNA", at positions 525 to 775 of the family's 1533-position model. The record is from RNAcentral.